This 468-nucleotide ribosomal RNA is filed under the name uncultured bacterium. RNAcentral's name for it is "partial 16S ribosomal RNA". It matches the Rfam family "Bacterial small subunit ribosomal RNA", at positions 28 to 507 of the family's 1533-position model. The record is from RNAcentral.
GACGAACGCUGGCGGCGUGCUUAACACAUGCAAGUCGAACGGAAAGGCCCUGCUUUUGCUUGUUGCUUGAUUGGCGAACGGGUGAGUAACACGUGAGUAACCCCCCCUUGACUUUCUGAUAACUUCAGGAAACUGGGGCUAAUACCGGAUAGGAUCUCUUGCUGCACGUGGGGGGUAGGAAAGAGUCGGCGGUUGUGUCUCGACUCGCUGCUUAUCAGCUUGAUUGUGGGGUAGGUGCUGACCAGGGCUUUGACGGGUAGCCUGCCUGGGAGCGUGGACAGCGACCUUGCGACUGCGAUAGGCAGCAGACUCCUAUGGGACGCAGCAGUGGGGAGUCUUGCACAAUGGGGGGGAGCGUGAUGCAGAGAUGCCGCGUGCGUGAUGACCGCCUAUGGGUUGUGAACAGAUUUCGAAUGUGACGAAGAGUGAGUGACGGUAAUGGGUAAGGAAGCACCGGCUAACUACGUG